RNAcentral lists this ribosomal RNA (429 nucleotides) under Bacteroidota bacterium. Its description in RNAcentral is "Bacteroidetes bacterium partial 16S ribosomal RNA". It matches the Rfam family "Bacterial small subunit ribosomal RNA", at positions 355 to 776 of the family's 1533-position model. The record is from RNAcentral. Lineage: Bacteria; Pseudomonadati; Bacteroidota.
UAGGGAAUCUUCGGCAAUGGGGGGAACCCUGACCGAGCAACGCCGCGUGAGUGAAGAAGGUUUUCGGAUCGUAAAGCUCUGUUGUUAAGGAAGAACGAGUGUGAGAAUGGAAAGUUCAUACUGUGACGGUACUUAACCAGAAAGGGACGGCUAACUACGUGCCAGCAGCCGCGGUAAUACGUAGGUCCCGAGCGUUGUCCGGAUUUAUUGGGCGUAAAGCGAGCGCAGGCGGUUAGAUAAGUCUGAAGUUAAAGGCAGUGGCUCAACCAUUGUAGGCUUUGGAAACUGUUUAACUUGAGUGCAGAAGGGGAGAGUGGAAUUCCAUGUGUAGCGGUGAAAUGCGUAGAUAUAUGGAAGAACACCGGUGGCGAAAGCGGCUCUCUGGUCUGUAACUGACGCUGAGGCUCGAAAGCGUGGGGAGCGAACAGG